This 253-nucleotide ribosomal RNA is filed under the name uncultured bacterium. Its description in RNAcentral is "partial 16S ribosomal RNA". It matches the Rfam family "Bacterial small subunit ribosomal RNA", at positions 524 to 776 of the family's 1533-position model. The record is from RNAcentral.
GACAGAGGGUGCAAACGUUGUUCGGAAUUACUGGGCGUAAAGCGUGUGUAGGCGGUGAGGUAAGUCAGGUGUGAAAUCCCACGGCUCAACCAUGGAAGUGCACUUGAUACUGCUUCGCUUGAGUACUGGAGAGGUUGGUGGAAUUCUCGGUGUAGAGGUGAAAUUCGUAGAUAUCGAGAGGAACACCGGUGGCGAAGGCGGCCAACUGGACAGAUACUGACGCUGAGACACGAAAGCGCGGGGAGCAAACAGG